This 20772-nucleotide long non-coding RNA is filed under the name Equus caballus (horse). RNAcentral describes it as "lncRNA (ENSECAG00000045836.1)". Lineage: Eukaryota; Metazoa; Chordata; Mammalia; Perissodactyla; Equidae. The record is from RNAcentral.
UUAAUAUUUUUCUUUUGAGGAAGAUUAGGCCUGAGCUAACAUCCACCACCAAUCCUCCUCUUUUUGCUGAGAAAGAUUGGCCCUGAGCUCACAUCUGUGCCCAUCUUCCUCUAUCUUAUGUGGGACGCCUGCCACAGCACGGGUUAAUAAAUGGUGCGUAGGUCCACGCCUGGGAUCCAAACCUGUGAACACUGGGCCACUGAAGCGGAGUGUGCAAACCUAACCACUAUGCCACUGGGCCAACCCCUCUGUGUUACUAUUUUUGUAUGUGUUUGUCUUUCUUGCCAACUAGACUACACUUCUCUUGAGGGUGUAGAUACAGUGUAGAUCUUCAGAUACAUAGUUGUAGUAUGAUCUGGUUUAAGUCAGUAUUUUGAAAAAUGGGUGGAAAUUUUUGUUGGGUAUAGUUUUGGUUUAAAUAAUUCUUUAUGAGUCUGUCCCUGAAAUAAGAAAUCAAGCAGGUCUUAAUGGUAUUGGAGAGGUGGUAAAUGGAAUUUAUAGGGAGAGUUGUCCUUAUUGGUCUUCAUUUUAUUUAUAGAAACAAAACCUGCACUUAAUUCUAAGGUUUGGUCAAUUUUAUGUGAGUAGUGCUGAUUAGUUAACUGCGGAAGUCUGAUGUGGUGAUAACACAAACUGUUCAGUUUAACACAGCAAAUUGUUUUCUUCCUCUCAGGUACUUCAUUGUAUGUAAUACAAAUGCUAUUUGUAAAUAACCAUGUGGAUAGAGAAGGUAACCUAUAAUCAGAGGCAGAACUAUUGGGCAGUAUUCGAGAAGUACAAAACAUGUCUUAUAGUUUUCCUGUGUGUGUACAAGUGGAUCAGAAUAAUGUUGAAAGGCUGAUUACUUGACAAAGGCUGAGAUAAAUCUGUGUUUAUCUGGGUUCAAGAGUGUCAGCUUAAACGAGGGCUGUCAAGUCUCCGUGGAGUGUUGGCAGGCAGGUUCCUGGGGUGGUGACACUCUGAAUGGUCUGGAAUGUGGAAUUCUGUGUUUCAGAGAGGACCAUUAAAAUAUCUGUGUUCUGGUUGUAGAGUUCUGUUUUGGUGUUUUGCCUGUUGUUUUGUGAGAAUAGACAGACUCUGAUCCUAGGUGAGUUUGUAUGUGCUUAUGUACAAUGUUGGAGGUUGUUCCUCAAUCCCUUACUCUUUGUCUUCCCCAGUCAUGUUUGCCCUUUCUCUCUCUUUAGGAAAUGAUGGUAUUUGUAGUAAGGGUUAAAUAAAUAGUCAUGAAGUACAGUGUUACUCCUGAGAAAUUUUCACUUUUGUCAGAGACAAAGGCUUAAGCAGAGGCACAUUUAGAUGGAGGGAAUAUUUUGGGAGAUAGCAAGUCUUCUGUGUGUGGUAGAUUGGAUUGUUGGUCACAAUUCUUAAUUCCUCUGUAGUGAUAUGUAGCAUUACACUUAUCCUGUCCUCAUGGUGUUGGUGUGUUUGGAUUUAACUGUGUGACUUGCUUUGGCAAUGGGAUGUUAGUGGAUUUGGUAAGAGGACAGCAUUAAAAUGCCGUGUUAUUUGCACUUGUGUUCUUGUCCUUUCCACUAUCACCAUAAGGAGAACAUGCCCUGGGUAGUCACUGCCUCCCCAGCUGGGCUCAGAAUAGAACAUUUGAAGCAAUGUCAGCGUAAACAACUGAUGAACUCAUAGGUGUGAGAAUAAUUAUUAUUGUUAAGCCAUUGAGUUUUGGGAUGGUUUCUUAGGCAGCAUUACUGGCAAUAGCUAACUAGUAGUCUCUGCAUCUUUAAAAUUCAUUUCAUUAAGCAGUUGUUGAUGGAUAAUACUUUCUCUGAUUAUAGAUACAGGCAACCUCCCUUCCCUCUACUUGCCUAAUUAGGGUUAAUGGCAAUAGAUGUGCUCCUGUAGAUUCCCUUAGAGUAGCCUGACUUUCACCGUUGUUGUGAACAGUGCAAAAAUUAUAUUGGGUUCAUUCCCAUUCAUUCUCCUUUCUGUCUGUAUUUUAGGUGUUACAGGUCUAAAUAGUGCUCUGGAAGGUGCCUUGGGCAAGUGGGGGAGGCUAGGAGACCUUGCCCCAGUUGUUCCCAUCUCUGCUUCAGGCUGAGUAGCUUCACUUUUAUUUAGGUAUUUGGUUUUCAUGUAAGAUUUUAUUAGAAAAAAAGGUAUUUUUUAGAAAAUUUGAAAAUUGUUACUAUAAACAAACUUGUAUAUUCAUACUGUGGAAUAUUACUUAUCAAUAAAAAGGAAUGAACUGUUACUGAUACAAUAACUUGGAUGCAUCUCAAGGGAAUUAUGCUGAGUGAAAAAAACGAAUUUCAAAAGGUUACGUAUUGUAUGGUUCCAUUUAUAUAAUGUUCUUGAAGCAACAAAUUUAUGGAGAACAGCUUAGUGAUUGCCAGGGUUUGGGGAUGGGGGUUUGUGGAGGUUGGAUGUGGCUGUAAAGGCGUAGCACAAGGGAGCUUUUUAGUGAUGCAGCAGUUCUGUGUCUUGAUUGUGGUGAUGAUCACAUGAAACUACCCAGGUGAUAAAAUUGUACACACACAGACACACACACACGUUUGUAAAACUGGUAAAAUUUGAAUAAGCUCUGUGGAUUGUGUCACUGUCAGUUUCCUGGUUUUGAUCCUAUUCUGUUAGUUAUGCAAGAUGUUACCAUGGUGGGAGGCUGGGUGGAGAAUGCACCGGGCCUCCUUGUGCCUUUUUUUUGGUUACUUCCUGUGAGUAUAUAAUUAUUUCAGAAUUAAAAGUUAAGAAUCAAAAACAUUGCUAUGUAUAAGAGCUAAUAUUAGAGGGAAAGAAAAAUAAUUCUUCCUUUAUUGUUAUGAAGUGGUUUAUUUGAAAGAAAUUUGAGUGAAUAUUGACACAUUUUUUGGGGGCAAUUUAUUCAUCCCUGGUACUCUGAGAUGUUCUUUAGAGACAAGUUAAUGUGACGUGGGGCUGGCGCAGCGGUGCAGCAGGUAAGUUCUCACGUUCUGCUUUGGCCAUCCAGGGUUCACUGGUUCAGAUCCCAGGUGCGGACAUGGCAUCGCUCGGCAAGGCACGCUCUGGCAGGCAUCCCACAUUUAAAGUGGAGGAAGAUGGGCACGGAUGUUGGCUCAGGGCCGAUUUUCCUCAGCAAAAAGAGGAGGAUUGGCAGUAGUUAGCUCAGGGCUAAUCUUCCUCAAAAAAAAAAGUUAAUGUGACAAAUGAGGGAGUGCUUAUGUAUGUGUGUGUGUAUUUGCUUCCAUCUAAUGGAAUUAUUUAUAAGACUCUCACAAAAGAGCCCAUUUUUUUUGUUGUUGUUACUACUGAUAGCAAAAAGGAAGAAGAGGAUAUUAGAUAAGGGAAAAGAGAAGAGAAGGUCCUCGUUUUAUGUGAGGUUAUUAUUAGAGAGAAGGCAACUAGCAGAGGACUAGCAAUUUUCAGUUUUGGCAAUCCAGAGAGACUUCUGUGCUAGGAAAUGAAAAGUACUUUCUUUCUAUUAGGAGUGUUCCGAGCUGUGAAUGUUCACAGUCAUAUGCUCCUUUGCUGUCACAUAUUUGGAAAUAAACGAGCUCGCAGGAGUUGACUGGAGGCUGACUCGUUUGGGGAAUAAAAUCGUCUAACAGCUCCUGGCUUUGGAUUCUAACCUAUUUCAGUGAUGAUACCAUCAUCAAUGUCCUCUACUUCCCCCCUCUUUGUUCUGUGCUUGAGAAUUUCCUGUGCAAGCAAGAAUAAUAGAAAUGCUUUGUUUUAAAAAAAUUUUAAAGAUUAUGAUCUGACUUGUCUUAGUACUUCUUUUAGUUGUUUAAAAAAAUAGUUUAUGAUGCAAAACAGUCUAGCAUGGGUUACAGGUCUGAUAAUAUUUUCGCCUGGUUUGGUGCUUCCCACUGACUAAACCGUGGAAAGUUUAGCGUGAGAUCUGUAGUAUGACAUGCGGAACCACAUUUAAUUUUACCCCAAGCAUAUGAAUGAACCUAUCAAGAAGAAAGGGAGACCAGUCAUGUCCUUUAUUACAUAACUGUUUUUUCACUUUUUUCUAAGGUAUGAGGAUACAAAAUAAAUGUUUACUUAAAAGGCCAACAGGCGUUAUUUAGCUGUCUUUAUCAUACAGUCACAUUUUUUUCUUUAUAUGGCAUCAUGUGGAAAUAAAAUUUUACUUAUAUGUGUGUAAAAGGGAGUAUAGAAUGCAGUUAUGUGCCGAGGCUUACAAGCCAGAUGUCCUGGAUUCAAAUCCCACCCUUGACCCUCAGGCAGGUACUUACCUUCUCUGACUCGUUCUCCUCGUCUGUAAAAUGAGAAUUCAGUUGUUUACGAUUGUGAGGUCCUAUUAUUGUGAGGUUAAUGGAAAAGCAGUAUUUUUCAGACGGUUUGUACUCUGUACUGACAUCAGGGGUUGGAAGUGCAACAAGGAAGACAAGUGGGGCUGCAGCAGUAGAAAGGAAGAUGGAGGGAUGAUACCCAGAGAUCAGAAACUGUAGAUGCUGCAGCCCUUGAGUUGACCUGCUGCUGCACUCUCGGAGCACUGUUUGAGGCAGGCCUGGCUCUGCUGAAGAGCUGUCACUUACCCAAAGGGUACUGCCUCUGCCCUGGCUGCUCAUUUGGAAUCACUCCAUUCCCAUAGCAGCAAGAGCGUCUGCCAGCAACUGGCACACAUGGGGUGCUGGAGCCCUUUUCUUCAUCUUCCUCAGUUUUCUUCAGUGCUCAUCAGGAAGCCACCUGGCGAGAGAGCUUAGAAAUACAAUUAAAUGUCUCCUGGCCCCAGAUGUUCAGAGUAGCAUAUAGAAGGAUAGAUGAAGUGAAAAACAGUAGGUAACUAACCUGUGCAAAGGCCUUAUACAUAUGCUUAUAUUUUUGUAGUCAGUAACUAUGGCUAUCUAGGAAGGAGAACUCCAGGGCUUGAGCACAGCAGUGGAGGGAUGCAUUUGUUUUACUCCUCGUCUUUGGGCUAUUUUUAAUGCCUUUAGAUCCACAGAAUUGAAUUGAUUAUACUCAUUUUGUGGCACAUUGAUUUUGGUCCAUGCAAAUCAUCAUGCCCAUUCCUUUCUUCCGUUGUCCCCCAUGCCGUGUAUGUCUACUUCCCAUACUUUUAUUUGGAUACAUUGAAAUUCUUGAAAGAUCUAUAUAGUCAUGUGCUGCAUAAUGACGUUUUGGUCAAUGACAGGCUUCCUAUACAAUGCGGUCCCAUAAGAUUAUAUCAGAGCUGAAAAUUCCUGUCGCUUAGUGACAUAGCUGUCAUAAUGUCGUAGUGCAACGUAUUACGUGUUUGUGAUAAUGCUGGAAAACUAACCUGUGCUGCCAGUCGUAUAAAAGUAUAGCACAUAUAACUAGGUACAGUAUAUAAUACUUGAUAACAAAUGACUGUUGCUGGAUUAUGCAUUUACUAUACUAGUUAUUUUAGAGUGUACUCUUUCUACUUAUAUAUAAAAAAAUUUACUUAAAAAAGUAUGCCGUGUUGUGCCAACAGCAGCCUCAUACAUACAUCAUCUUGUUUACUGCACCUCUCGAUUGCACCAUUUUCUCUUGUGCUUGAUGUAAUCUCAUAUGGUUUUGUUCGUCAUGGCCCCUAAGCGUACAAAAGCCACUGCUAGUGUUGCAUUACAUAAUAGGCCACAUUGAGUGAUUGACCUGGAAACGAAAUUAAAAGUGAUUAAGGACUAUGAAGGUGGAAAAUCAGCAAUGGUUAUUGCUCACUACUUGGACAUGUCCCAUUUCACUGUAGCUCCAUCUUGAAGAACAAGAACAAAGUGAUAGAAGCUGUUACUUAAAGGACUGGUUCUUCGACGGCAAUGAGACUAACAAAAUUCGAGAAGGGCCUGUAUCAGACACUGAGAAACUUUUUUUUUUUAAAGAUUUUAUUUUUCCUUUUUCAUCUAAAGCCUCCCGAUACAUAGUUGUAUAUUUUUAGUUGUGGGUCCUUCUAGUUGUGGCAUGUGGGAUGCUGCCCCAGCAUGGCUUGACAAGCGGUGCCAUGUCCGCACCCAGGAUUCGAACUGGUGAAACCCUGGGCCGCCAAGGCAGAGGGCGCAAACUUAACCACUCGGCCACGGGGCCGGCCCCUAUAGCAGCUUUUAAGGCCUACUACCUGAGGGAGACAUUGAUGCAAUUCUGGAGGGAUGACAACAUGUAUGACUGCAUCAAGGGCUUGGGGUGAUGUCACCAAGGAGUGUGUGAAUGGCAUCUGGAAAGACACUCGAGGUUCGUCUAUGACUUCAGAGGAUUUUUCAAGGAUGAGGAAGUUGCCAAAAUCGACAAGGCUGUAGUUGAGAUGGCAAACAACUUUAACCUGGGUAUGGAUGGAAGAUGGCGUUGAGGAACUCGUAGAGGUGGUUCCUGAGGAAUUCACUAGUGAGGAGUUGUUGAGACUGAAACAGGAUGCGUAGCUGAAGAAGAGGCAAAAGAAAAGGAAACUGCAGGAGAAGGAAAAGAAGAACCUUCAAGAAAAUUUGCAGUGAAGGGUUUAGCAGAAGAUUUGCAGACCUCAACGAGCUCCUUAAAAAUUGUGAAAAUAUGGAUCCCAACACUGAAAGGUUUUCAUCAAUAGAGAGGAAUGUUCAUGGUGCACUAUCUGCUUAUAAGCAAAGCUGUGAUUUAAAAAAAAAAAAAACAAGCAAACCACCAUGGUCAUAUUUCUACAAAGAGCGCUUCAAAAAGAGCCUCAGGCAGGUCCUUCAGGAGGCAUUCCAGAAGACGGCAUCGUUAGCAUAGGAGGUGACAGCUCCAUGUGUGUUAUUGUCCCUGAAGACCUUCCAUUGGGACAAGAUGUGGAGGUGGAAGACAGUGAUAUUGAUGAUCCUGACCCUGUGUAGGCCUAGGCUACUGUGUGUGUUUGUGUCUCAGUUUUUAACAAAAAUGUUUAAAAAGUAAAAAAGAAAACACUUUUCUUAAUAGAAAAAAGCUUAUAGAAUAAGGAUAUAAAGAAAAUAUUUUGUACAGCUGUAUAUUGUUUGUGCUUUAAGCUGUUACUACGAGUAAAAAGUUUAAAAAUUUUUGAAGUUUAUAAAGUAAAAAAGUUACAGUAAGCUAAUUUAUUCUUGAAGAAAGAAAACUAUUUUUUAAUAAAUUUAGUGUUGCCUAAGUCUCCAGUAGUGCACAGUACUGUCCUAGCCUUCACAUUCCCUGACCACUCGCUCGCUCACUCACCCAGAGCAGCCUCCAGUCCUGCAGGUCCAUUCAUGCUCAGUGCCCUGGAAGGGUUUACCACUUUUCUUUUACUGUACUUUUUCUAUGUUUAGAUACACAAAUACUUAGCAUUGUAUUACAGUUGCCUGCAGUAUUCGGUACAGUACAUGCUGCACAGGUUUGUAGCUUAGGAGCAAUAGGCUAUACCGUUUGCCUAAGCAUGUAGUAGACUAUACCAUGUAGAUUUGUGUAAGUACAUUCCAUGUUCACACAGUGACGAAUUUGCCUAAUGCACAUUUCUCAGAAUGUACCCCUGUCCUUAAGUGACAUGUGACUGUAAUGUUAUUCAUGGGUUAAAUUUAAGUAAAUGCCACUGUGCUAAAAAUUUUAUUUUUUAUUAUUUUUUUAUACUCAGCAUUAGGUUUUUGAACUGGAUCCAUCUUGCUGUAUAUAAAUUUGGUUCACUAUUUUUUGUUGCAUAGUAUUCUACCAUGCUGUGCAUGUAUUAUAUUUUCUCUUCUUACCUAUUUUCCCAUUGAUGGGCUUCUAAUUUGCCUGAACUUUCUUGCACGUAAUACUGCAAUGAACGGCCUCAUCCUUGUUUUAUUAUUGAUCUCUUGAGAGUUUCUGGGGUAUACACCCUGUUUGGUAGGCAGCCUCUAAAAUGGCUCCUAACGGUCUCUCCCUCCUGAUAUUCCUGUCCUUGUUUAAUCUCCUCCCCGUUAGUGUGGGCUGGACCUAGCGAUUCUCUUCUGAUGAAUAGAACAUGGCAAAUGUGAUGAGAUAUCACUUCCGAGAUUAGUGUACCAAAGAUCUGUGACUUCCCUCUUGCUUGCCAUUUCUCAUUGUCUCGUCCCUGGGGGAAGCAAGCUGCUAUGUUGUGCACUGUCCUGUGGAGAGGUCCAUGUGGCAGGGAACUUAUGUUUCUGACCAACAGCCAACGAAGCUCUGAGGCUUGCCAACAGCUAUGUGAGUGAGCUUGAAAGCAGAUGCUUUCCCACCUACCUUUGAGGUAAUUGUAGCCUCAGCUGACCCUUGAUUGCAGUUUUUAGAGACCCUAACGCAGAGGCACCCAGCUAAUCUAUAUCUGGAUUCCUGACCCACAGAAAAUUUAGGAUAAUAAAUUUUUAUCAUUUUAAGCCCGUAAAUUUUGGGGUAACUUGUUAAUGUAACCAUUGGAUUGUAGGACACGUGCACACUUAACUAAGUCUGGCCAGAUUUCCUUCAUACCAGCAAUACUUGAAGGCUUCUGUUUCCUUACACUUUCACUAGCUCCUGCUAAUAUCAGACUUUCUAAAUAUUUUUUUGCCAACCUGAUAGGUGUAAAGUGAUAUCUCGUUUUAAUUAUAUGUAUUUGAUAACAUGCUGAGUAUUCUGUCAUAUCCCUUUUUGGUCAGUGCUUAUUCAUAUUCUUGCUCUUUCUUUGGUUUUUCUGUCGUGUUGUUUAGUAGAAAUGUCUUAUGUGAACAGCCCUUGUCGGUUUCAGUCAUUGCAAAUAUCUUAUUUACCUAUUAAAUUUGCAAAUAAUGCCCUUGAUUAAACAACUAUUUAACUUUGAUGUAGUUAUGUCCAUAAAUUCUUUCUCCUUAAGGUUUGUGCUUCUCUGGAUCUUGUUUAGGAAGGACCACUGAUAUCCAUAAUUUAGAUUUUUUGAAUAAAUAAAAAUCUUUUUUCUGAAAACUGUAGGAUGAAUUGAAGUGGAUAUUAAAAUAUAGAUGAACACUGUAUUCUCUUGUUGCCCAUUUCAUUUGAAUUUGCUUUGCAACACCACUGUCAAGUACUUAUUUUACAUGUAAUGUGGUAACUUAACUCAUUCACAAAUCUGGAUAAAGAUGAGGUGUGGCUAUGUGGUAGUGGCCUGAGUUAGGUUGAUAGGAGAACCUUGUAGGAGUGAAUUGAUACAUUGGUCCCCAAGUUACAGAAACUAUAAGAUAAAGUAUGUUGCAAAAUAAUAAAAAUGUGUUUUUGUACUUAAAAAUCGGGAGAAAACCUCAAAUUCUUUUAAAUAGUAAUUUUAGCUUUAAAAAUGUCCACCAGAUGGCACCAAUACACGAUAAGUACUUAGGAAAAUCAGAAGCAUUAUUCUCACGCUUAUUUUAAAAUCUGUUAAAAUUAAAAUGUGUUAACAGUGUAAUUAAGGAGAUAAUUCUGGCUCCCUACUAAUUAGUCUUCAAGAAACCCUUUCUGAGGUUCCAGUUUGGGUGAGGUGUCUUCCCUCUCUGGUCCUGUAGCUAGCUAAUAGCACCCACCUGAUUGCUCUGUAAUUCUCUUCUAGAGUCUGUUUCUUUCACUUGAAGUAGAGAUGGGGACAUUUUUAGCCUCACGAGGGCUUUUAUUUAUUUUUCUAGUAAACGUUAGGUUUGGAGUUAAAGCUAGGUUUGAGGCAAAUAAAAUCUAAAAUGUAGCCUUUUCAAUUUAAACGUAUCUUUCAAUGCUUAUAAAAUCUGCAGCUUUGGGAAAAUAAUGGGAGUAAACAUUUCAUUGCUUUAAUUUUAUGUAUUGAAUUGAUAAUGAAAAAAAUAGCCAACAUUAGCUGCCUCAUUCUCUGGACCGAUCUACGAAUCCCAUCUCCUUUUGGGAAAUGGGCACAGAGAAAUUUAUAGCCCUUGAAAAAUAAAUUCAUGAAUUAAUAUGCCCAAGGACCAUAAAAGUGACUUCCAAGCAACAGCCUGGACUCCAAAUAUGAAACUUUCAUACCGUUUGUCUUGAAUGGCCCUAAUGAGACUCAGGCUCUGUGUCUGUAAUGUCUGAGGGUGCCAGAAAAGUUUCUGUGAGCUCCAUCUCUUUGUCUUUGGAGAGGUGAGAUUCUUUCUAUAUUGCUGAUACGUUGAGAGGCCCAGCCAAGCAUCAGGCUUUCCAUCCCUGAAAAACAUCUCUCCAGAACCUUCUUAUUGCUGUUCACUUGUUGCAGAUACCUAGUAUGCUUCCAUUAUUGAAUUCACUUUUAAAAAUGAUCGAUACCAAUAUUUGCCAGCAUGUAAUUAGUGAAACGCAGUCUUUCCAGAAGCUACUUGAGGAACAAAGUGUUCUAUAGUUAAGCAUUGGCAAACAGUUUUCCUCUUCACAGCUCACAUUAUCAUGUUAAAGACUCUCUGAAGCCCUAUAGCAGUGAUUCUCAAUGGAGCAGUAUUGCCCCCUAGAGAAUGUUUUGUAAAUUGUAAAUUUGUGGGAGUGUUUUUGUUGUCUCACCGAUUAGCCUAGAAGUCAUAGGCAGUCCCAUAAAAGCAAGAGUCAUUCCUUGACCCCUAGGAUUACUCUCAUCCUUGUAAUCAGGUAGCUGAAAAAUCUGUUUAUAAUUAAACUUAGGACCUAACUCUGUUGUACAUAUAAACAUGAAGUAGUUGUGAUUUUAUAAUAGUAGCCAGACACUGAAUGUCUUAGGAAUACAAUGACCAUGUAAAUCAAGGGAAGAUUGUAUUUUCUUUUGUUUGGAGCUUUAUCAAGAAUUGUUUACUGUUUCAGAAAAGCAUAUCGUGAGCAUAUACCACUGGUUGUAUUUGAGUUGCUGAUAUAGCACACCUCUGUAGCCUUGUGUUUGUAGCUGUCCUAUUCACCAUGAUUCUCCACAUAGAUGCAAGCGUCUGACUACUUAUGCCUUUUGGUUUACUCAUUCCCAAGCAUUUAUGUAUUAAAAUACAUAUUAUGUUAUUGUUGGUCUUUUUGGAAAUUAUGUUUAUGUAGGAUAUAUCUGAAUAUUGUUUCAGGGUGGUAAAGGAGGCAUUACAAAGAUACAUGUUUACAGCAAGGGCACAUUGGAUCUGAUAGGGUUGGGAACCACUAUCCUGGGUAGAGGAAUCUGGAGAAUUUUCUUAACUCAGUAUUUGCAAAAUUAAUUGGAUAAUAAAACCUUUAUUUUGUGUAACGUCUGUUAACUUUAGGGAAAACUAUACUAAGUAUGCAAACCCUGUCAUUAAUGAAACUUUAUAGUAUUGUAUACUUCUCAAAAUGCUUUCACAUGCCUUAUUUCAACUUAUUUUUACAUUUUACAAGGUGCAUACCAUAGGUAUUCUCCUUCUGUAGAGGAAGUAGAACAAGAGAGAAUUCAAGUAACUCACCUUAGGUCACUCAGAGGUCUGUGGCAGAGCCGCAGAGGAGAGGCCUGACUCCCAGAUCCAUGCCCUUCCUUCCACAUCUUACGGCUCUGAAAGUUUCCCUGGGGGAAGCAAGCUGCUGUGUUGUGCCCUGUCCUGUGGAGAGGCCCAUGUGACAGGGAACUUAUGUCUCUGACCAACAGCCAGUGAAGCCCUGAGGCUUGCCAACAGCUAUGAGGCUCCCAACUUGAACGGAAUAAAUUACUCCAUAAAGUGCUAUCUGUCUGCCCACGGUACUUUAUCCAUACAUCUAGUGAAACUCUUAACACACCAGCAUCUAAAAUGUGUCUGCAUUUGUGCUUAAAGUAAACUUCUUGAGAGUAAAGACUAUGUGUAACUUAUUUCAUGUUUGUAUAUUUGCAAGGCCUCGCACCAUGAUUGGAACAAUACAUGUUUAUUGACUUAAAUUCCUUUAAAGCACAGUAACAUGGAGAUCAAAGACAGUACUUCUCUUUUCUUAAUUAAUUAAUUCAACAAAUUUAUUCAGAACCUACUUACAUGUUAGACACUGGCACCCCUGAAGAGAUAAUUAUGAAUAAGACACACUUUCGUGUCUUAGUCUCAAUUUAUUUCUGUUGUUCCUGAUAAAUCAAUUGUUGAUGCUGGUGGUGGUAAGCUGAGCCAGUCCACUUCUUUUUGCUCACUCAGGACAUGAAAAAGUUGUGGUGCUGGUGGUGGUAAAAGCAGCAGACAGCAUGUCAAAACUGUGCCCUCCUUCUGACUGUACUUUUGAUAAUUGUAGCAUGUCCAACUAUCACUUACUAUUGCCCACUGCUCCCCAAGGGGACCUCUAGAUGAGCUCAGUGGUAGUCUUCUGCGUCUGGCUAAUGAAGAGUUGGAUCCUCCUGGAGUAGAUAUGCAGGAUGAGUGGGGCCAGGAUGUGAGGAGGGGAUCAAAUCAGAAAAGCCAAGUUUAUCUCAGAUCCAAAGGGCAAGCAUGGGAUGGACAAUGGGGACAAAAUUCAAAGUUUAGAGUCAGUAUUGGACAGGGAUGAAGCUGGAAGUUGUAGGAAUAGAGCUGGAGGUUAAGACUUAGGUAGUUGACAGAUCCAAGAAUUUUGUGGCAAAAAGAGCUGGGAUGUCUAGAGUUAUCUGUUCUUGAAUCGCUCAGCUUACUGAAAGAUACAGUUCUGGCCUGUUUGGGGAGUGAUGUUAGCCUUAUGGCUGAAUAAGAUGUCCCUCACUUGUGUCCCUCCUCCCAAAACAAAUUGGCAUUCAUUCAUGGACAAAAGUGUCUUUGUAGGAGCUGUAGGAUCCAGCACCAUAUGCCAAGGGACCUGGGAGGAGUUUCACCUACCCGUACAUCAGGUAAUAGGCAUAUGAACCUUGCUCCCGGCUGUGAACCCUGCAAUGGCCUGUUAACCAACUCCAGCCCCUCUCUGCUGCAGUCCAGGAGCCCCUGGGAAGCACUGUCUUAGAAAAUCACCCAGGAACAAGAGAGCCUUUGUGGAAGUCCAAGUUUCUAAUGGAGAAGUUCCAGCACACCAUUGGAACAAAAAAGUAUGAGUUUGGGUGCAUUGGAGAGGGUAAGGGGAACAGCUUGACUUUACCUGCAUCGUCCUUCCCCUAAGGUGGCACAGCUUAGGGCCAAGAGAGAUCUUCCUGGCCUGUGCUUUCUCUUGUGAGGGAAAAGGAGAGUGUGUGAGUGAGCACCUGGCUUCCCCAGCUGUGUGAGACAUUGCCACAGAGGCUCAUUUCUCUCUCACCCCAUCCAGAGUACUGAGACAUGAGCUUCAUGACUGGGGGGUGGAAACAGGCUAGGAGAGCAGCAGGUUGGACUCUUAGGGGGCAUUAAAGGGAUGUAGAUCCUACUAACUGUGUCAUAGAGUCCAUCAAGAAGCCCACCCAUGGGCCACUGGGGACACCUUGUCAGUGAAUCUCCCUGACUAGUCCAUUGGUAGCAGCAAGAGCAAGCUUUGGCAAAUGGGUAGUGAACUUGUGCCAAAAGCUGACCUGAAUCUGUGGGCCAGGGAGAAACCGCAAGCUUGAACUCUAGUGCCACUUUUGGAGAAACAAAAGGUAGGCUAUCAUCACCCAGCCUGGUAUGUUGCAGGAUCAAGAGAAGGCACACAAGCUUAAGAAUUCUUCCACAAGAGGGGACAAGAAAUUUGGAGCAAGUGUAUCCGCAGAAAGCCUCAGAAUCACUAGUAAGGCUGAUGGAAGGCAUUUAUUUCCCAAAGGAAUUUAUUUAAGAUUGGAGGUGGUGACUGCUACUUCAAAUGAGAAGACAGCAAUGCAAAACUUCUAGGACAUGAAAAAUCAAGGAAACAUGACAUCGUCAACGAAUCAUAAUAAUCUCCCAGUAACUGAGUAACUGAUCCCAAAGACAAGGAGAUCUGUGAUUUACCUGGUAAUUCAAAAUAGCUAUUUUAAGGAAACUCAAUGAGCUAAAGAAAACACAGAUAAUUCAAGAAAAUCAGGAAAACAAUAUAUGAACAAAUGAAAAGUUUAACAGAGAUAGAAAUAAUAAAAAAUCAAAUUCUAGAGCUGAGGAAUACAAUGAAUGAGAUGAAAAAUGCAACAGAGAACAUCAACAGCAUAUUGGAUCAAGCAGAACAAAAAUCUGUGCAUUAAAAGACAGGAACUUUGAAAUUAUGUAGUCAGAGGAGAACAAAGAAAGAAGAAUUAAACAGUGAAGAAAGCCUAUGUGAUCUAUGAGUGGGAUACCAUGAAAAAAGUAAUUUGCAAAUUAUUGGAGUUCCAGAAGGAGAAGAGAAGGAGAAAGAGGUGGAAAGCUUAUUUAAAGAAAUAAUGGCUGAGAACUUCCCAAAUCUGGCGAGAGAUCUGGAUAUCCAGGUUCGUGAAUUUCAUAGAUCUCCAAACAAACUCAGAGAGCGCCUCUCCAAGACACACAAUAAAUCUAUCAAACAGACAAAGAGAGAGUCUUAAAAGCAGCAAGAGAAAAGAACCUUAUAUCUUACAAGGGAACCCCCCUAAGACUAUCAGUGAAUUUUUCAGCAGAAAUGUUACAGGCCAGGAGAGAGUGGGAUGAUAUAUUCAAAGUGCUGAGAGAAAAACACUGCCGACAAGGAAUGCUGUAUCUGGCAAAGUUAUCUUUCAGAAAUGAUGGCGAGAUAAAGACUUGCCCAGACAAAUGAAAGCUGAGGGAGUUCAUCACCACAAGACUCGCCUUACGAGAAAUACUGAAAGGAGUUCUUCCAGCUUGAAACAAAAGGAAGGUAAUUAGGAACAUGAAAACAUUUGAGAAUAUACCACACAUUGGUAAAGGUAAGUAUAUAGUCAAGUUGAGAAUACUCUAAUACUGUAAUAUGGUAGUGUGGUAACCCCUUAAGUCUAGUGUAAAGGUAAAUUUAUACACUCUAUAAAAAGAGGUAAAUUGCGACGUCAAAAACAUAAAAGGGGAAGAGUAAAAGCGUGGAGUUUUUAUAUGCGAUUGAAGUUAAGUUGCUGUCAGCUUAAACUGGACUGUUUUUGCCAUAGAAUAUUUUAUGCAAGCCUCAUAGUAAUCACAAGUAGGGAAAGCAUUUCAGUUUUAAAUAUUGUUGUCCAGAAAGGCCUUGCUGAGAAAGUGACAUUAGAGCAAAGGCUUGAAGGAGGGAAGGAAUGAGCCCUUUGUAUAAUGGGGGAAGGAGUGUGCCAGGCAGAGGAAGCAGUGGUUAUAGGGGCCCUGAGGGAGGACGUGUCUGUUCUGUUCCAAACCAGGCUAAUGAUAGCGUUAGCACACACAGAUCAGCACUCCCUACAUGCCAGACACUGUUGUAAAGGCUCUACAGCCAUUAUCUCAUUUAAUCCUCCAUGUUGCCCCUGUCCCCAUUUAUAGAUGAAGAGACUGAGGCACAGACAGGUUAGGUAACUUGCCCAAGAUUAUUAGCUGGAAAGUGCUGGAACCCAGGCAGUCUGGCUCCAGAGUCUGUGUGCUCAACCACUCUGCUCUGCUGCUCGGUGUCUAAUCCUUUGGAGUUGUGGAGGGCAUUGCUCAUCACAUUGUACUGUGCCACUUUGCUUUUAGGAGAAACUAUUUUUCUGAUCUUAAUAUUGACAUUAGUUGUACUUGUCUUGAGCCACUGGUUUAUUUCAAUCUAAUGAACACUAUGAUCUGUGAUGAUUGCUGAUCAUGAUUUUAUUUGGGCCACUGAAUAUUUAAAGGUGCACUCAUUUCUUUUUCUUUCUUCGUGUUGUUGUAUUUUGUUUAUCAUUAUAAUCUAGCUUGUAUCCUCUUAGAUAUAGAGAAUGAUGAAUGAAUACAAAUGAAUUUUAAAAGAAGGCUCAGACUUAGCGGUUUAGAACUGAAAAGUAAGCAGCCCUGUCUCUGGGAAAAGCUACCCACCAGCUUGGCCUUGCACAACUAGGAUUCUCAUUUCUUCCUUCUUCCAGCCACAGCCUUCUCCUGUUGCUCCCUCUGGAGCUGAGGGAAGAGGAAAGAAGCAGCCUUCUCCCUGAAACCCCAGCUCUGACUAUUGUUGUCCAUGUGCAAUUAGGAGCCUGGAGUGAGAUCAAACAGUUCAUAUCCUGACCGCCAUCUAUCAGAGGUUGGGUCCUCAGCAUCUUCAUCUGUAAAAUGAAGAUAAAAAUUAUACCUACCUCUUAAAGUCAUGAGGAUUAAGUAAGAUAAUGUUUAUACAUGAAAUGCAUAGCACAGAGCUGAUGCAUAUAAAUACUAUGGAAAUCUUAGCUCUUAUUAUUAUUAGUUACUCUUCUUUAAUUAAACAAAAAAAACACUGGCUUGGUUGCGAUUUGGCUGUCCAUCUUAUCCAGUCAAGUGCCCUGUGGGGCCUCUCUGUGAUACUGAUCCCUCACACCUUGGCUUCCCAAGUAGGUGUGGCCUAUUGGAAACAAAACAAAACCAAUAUGAAUACAGGUAUAUGCUGGAGAUACUGCAGGUUUGGUUCCAGACCACCACAAUAAAGUGAGUCACACAAUUUUUUUGGUUUCCCAGUGCAUGUAAAGUUAUGUUUAUACUAUGCUGCUGUAGUCUACUGAAGAAUGCAAUAGCAUUAUGUCUAAAAAAAAAUGUACAUACCUUAAUUAAAAAAUACUUUAUUGCUAAAAAAUGCUAACCAUCAUCUGAGCCUUCAGCGAGUAGUAGUCUUUUUGCUGGCAGAGGGUCUUGCUUCAGUGUUGAUGGUUGCUGACUGAUCGGAGCGGUGGUUGCUGAAGGUUGGGAUGGCUGUGGCAAUUUCUUAAAAUAAGACAGAGUUUGCCACAUAGAUUGACUCUUCCUUUCACAAACGAUUUCUCUAUAGCAUGAGAUGCUGUUCCAUAGCAUUUUACCCAUGUAGAACUUCUUUCAAAAUUGGAAGUCAAUCCUCUCAAAUCCUGCUGCUCCUUUAGCAACUAAGUUUAUGUAAUAUUCUAAAGCCUUUGUUGUCAUUUCAACAGUCUUCACAUCUUUACCAGGAGGUUUACGGUAUAGUAAACAUAACUCAAGAAACCACUUUCUUUGCUCAUCCAUAAGAAGCAACUCCUCAUCCAUUAAAGUUUUAUCAUGAGAUUGCAGCAAUUCAGGCACAUCUUCAGCCUCCACUUCUUAUUCUAGUUCUCUUGCUAUUUUCACCACAUCUGCGGUUACUUCUUCCACUGAAGUCUGGAACUUCUCAAAGUCAUCCAUGAGGGUUGGAGUCAACUUCUUCCAAACUCGUGUUAAUGUUGAUAUUUUGACCUCUUCCCCAUGAAUCACGAAUGUUCUUAAUGUCAUCUAGAAUGGUGAAUCCUCUCCAGAAAGUGUUCAAUGCCCUUUGCCCAGAUCCGUCAGAGGAGUCACUAUGUAUGAGAGCUACAGCCUUACGAAAUGCAGUUCUUUUUUUUCAAAGAUUGGGCCUGAGCUAACAUCUGUUGCCAAUUUGUUUUUUUUCCCUUCUCCCCAAAGCUCCCAGAACAUAGUUGUGUAUUCUAGUUUUAGGUCCUCUUCAUUCUGCUAUGUGGGACGCUGCCUCAGCAUGGCUUGAGCAGUGUGUAGGUCCAUGGCCAGGAUCCUAACUGGUGAAACCCUGGGCCGCCGAAGCGGAGGGCAUGAACUUAACCACUUGGCCACAGGGCUGGCCCCCAAAAUGUAUUUCUUAAAUAAAAAAGAUUUGAAAGUCAAAAUUACUCCUUGACCUGUGGGCUAUAGAAUGGAUACUGUGUUAGCAGGCAUGAAAACAACGUUCAUCUCACUGUAUAUCCAUCAGAGCUCCUGGGUGACCUGGUGCAUUGUCAAUAAGCAGUAAUAUUUUGGAAGGAAUCUUUAUCUGAGCAGUGGGUCUCAACAGCGGACUUAAAAUAUUCAGUAAACCAUGUUGUAAGCGUAUGUGCUGUCAUCCAGGGUUUGUUGUUCCAUUUAUAGAGCACAGGCAGAGUAGAUUUAGCAUAAAUCUUAAGGGCCCUAGGAUUUUCAGAAUGGUCCAUGAGCAUUGGCUCCAACUUAAAGUCACCAGCUGUAUUAGCUCCUAACAAGAGAGUCAGUCUGUCCUUUGAAGCUUUGAAGCCAGGCAUUGACUUCUCUCUGGCUAUGAAAGUCCUGGAUGGCAUCUUCUUCCAGUAGAAGGCUGUUUCAUCUACGCUGACAAUCUGUGGUUGAGUGUAACCGCCUUUAUUAAUGAUCUUGGCUAGACCUUCUGGAUGACGUGCUGCAGUUUCUACAACAGCACUCACUCCUUCACCUUGUACUUUAUAUCAGGGAGAUGGCUUCUGUCCUUAAACCUCAUGAGCCCACCUCUGCUGGAUCACACUUUCUUGGGCAGCUUCCUCCCCUCUCUCGGCCUUCACAGAACUGAAGAGAGUGAGGGCCUGGCUCUGGAUCAGCCUCGGCCUGAGGGAGUGUUGUGGCUGGUUUGCUCUUCUGUCCAGGCCACUGAAACUUCCUCCAUAUCAGCAACGAGGCUGCUCUUCUUUCUUAUCAUUCGUGUGUUCACUGGAGUAACACUUUUCAUUUCCUUCAAGAACUUUCCCUUUGCAUUCACAGCUUGGCAAACUUUGGCACAAGAAACCUAGCUUUUGUCCUAUCUUAGCUUUCCACAUGCCUUCCUCGCUAAGCUUAAGCAUUUCUAGCUUUUGAUUUGAAGUGAGAGAUGUACGAUUCUUCCUUUCACUUGAACACUUAGAGGCCACUAUAGGGUUAUUAAUUGGCCUAACUUCAAUGUUGUUGUGUCUCAGGGAAUAGGGAGGCCCAAGGAGAGGGAGAGACGGGAGAGCAGGCGGUUGGUUGAGCAGUGAGAACACACACAGCAUUUAUCGAUUAAGUUUGCUGUCUUAUAUGGCCACAGUUCGUGGAGCCCCCUAAAAUUAUACUAACAUCAGGGAACACUGAUCACAGAUCAUCAUAACAAAUAUCAUAAUAGUGAAAAUGUUUCAAAUAUUGUGAGAGUUACCAAAAUGUGACAGAGGCAUGAAGUGAGCAAAUGCCGCUGGAAAAAUGGCACCAAUAGACUUGCUGCAUGCAGGGCCGCCCAAACCUUCAAUUUGUAGGAAACAAUAUCUACAAAAUGCAAUAAAGCAAAGCACAAUAAAACAAGCUAUGCCUGUAGUGAAUAAAACCAACAAGCAUAGCCAGGUUCCAACUGACCAAAAGCUUCGGUAAUGCUGAAGAUAGGGCUUCGCAGAGAUGACACGGGAGAGAGGACCAGGCAGAGAGGAGCUAUGUGAGGCAGUGCCUUUGCUUUGUAAGCUUGUCUCCCUCCCCCAACCAUUUUCAGUUGCUUAAGAAUUGUCUAGGCUCCUCACAAAAUUGGUAUUGACUCUUUUAGGAUUGCUUCAAGUUCUGCAAGAAGAAAAUGAUCCAGUUAAAGAGGCUUAAAAAGUUCUAUUAAAUAAUUUUUGAUUAGUUGUCUUAGAAUAAAAGAAAGUCUUUUUCCAGUGGCCCACAUGUUUGAUAAUUUCUUUUCGUCCUAUGAGAACAUUGAACUCGUGUGACCUUUAUUGAGUGGCGUGGUGUUGUGGGAAGAGCAUGUGCAUUGGGCCUCACUCCUGGCUGUGCAGUUGUAGGCUGCAGACACUGUGGCCAGGGUCCCGAGGUUCCUACCUCCCAAGGCUGUGGAGAAGGUUGACUGGUGUGGCACUGGGAAAGCUCCUCGCAGGUGGCAGACUUUCAGUGAUGUUGGUCUGAUUUUUUGAGGCCUUUUCUUAAAUUAUUUCUCUUUUGCCACAUCAUUAGAACUGCUUAAUUAUUCAGGACUUUUUCAUCCAGUUUAUGGAUUAUUGAGGACCUUUUCUAAUAAAUCUGUCUCCUGCUGACUUUUAAAAUUGCAGUAUAACUGCCUGUCAGUCUGUCAAUUAUGAGAAAUAGAUUAUUCAACAUCAAUAUUAUUGAAUGCCUUGGUAAAAUGGUCUUAUGAAAAAAUUUGAAACUAUAGUUAAAAUGGAGCUUCAGUUGAAAGGUUACUUUAUCUAUGGAUAAAUUUUACAAGUUUAUAGUUUUCUUAUUUUUAAGGUUGCUUUUCUUCUGAUUAGCAAUUAUCACAAAAAUGUGAAAAUCAGAUUAAAAUCACUUAUAAUCCUUCUAUUGCCCAGAAAUAACCGCUGUUAACUUUUAAUGUUUUCACUUUUAUAUGUACAGUUCUUUGUAAGACUUUUUCCACCUGAAAGUAUUUUAUAAAUAUUCUCUCAUAUUGCUAACAUUUAAAUUACUUUCAUAAUGGAUGUACUGGGAUCUACAUAAUCAUUAUCCUAAUUUAAAUAUUUAGGUUGUCCUAAACUUCUCCACAAGGAAUGUUUUGGGACGUAAGCCUUUGUCUGCAUUUCUGAUUAGUGCUUGAGAAUAAAUUCCUAGAAGUGAAAUUGUUGGGUCAAUGUCAAGUAAUAUUGCUGUGUAACAUGUCCUUAAAACUUAGUCACUUAGGGGCCAGCCCCGUGCCGAGUGGUUAAGUUCCCACGCUCCGCUGCAGCAGCCCAGGGUUUUGCCGGUUUGGAUCCUGGGUGCGGACAUGGCACCGCUCAUCAAGCCAUGCUGAGGUGGCGUCCCACAUGCCACAACAAGAAGGACCCACAACUAAAAAUAUGCAACUAUGUACUGGGGAGCUUUGGGAGAAAAAGGAAAAAAUUAAAUCUUUAAAAAAACAAACCAAAAAUCUUAGUCACUUAAAAUGGCAGCAAUCACUCAUUUACUCAUAAUUUUGCAAUUUGGGGACAAUUUAUCUCUGCUGUAUGUGACUGGGGUGGCUUGAUUGGGGCUAGAAGGUCCACUUUCUAGGUGACUCACGUGACUGAGAAGUUGAUGCUGGCUGUUGGCUGGGGCCUCGAGUCUCCAGGUGGACUUCUCCCCUGGGUUCCAAGAGCGAGCAGGUGGAAGCUGCCAGUCCUCUUAUAGGCCACGCUCGCAACUGGCACAGAGUCUCUUCUAGAACGCUCUCUUGGUCAAAGCAGUCACAGGCCAGAUUCCAGAGGGUAGUAAAUAGGCCACAUCUCUUUCUGGGAGAAGUGACAAAGAAUUUGUGGCCAUACUUAAUCUAUCAUAGUCAAAGAGCAUAUUGUUGAAGGAUCUUUAUAAGCAACACCAAGGCACUUUCAAGAAAGGUUGUGCUGAUAUGCAAUUCUACCAGCAGUGCAUAAGAAUACCCAUCAUCAUACUCACCAACAUUAAAUAUGGAAAUUUAAAAAAUGUCCACUUACAUAUAAAAUGUGGGAUCUCAUUGUUUUACUUUGAAUUUACUUGAUUAUUAGUGAGUUUCCAUAUGUUUCAUAAAAAUUUAUAUUUCUUUGUGAAUUAUCUGCGUUUUUUUGCG